This 400-nucleotide ribosomal RNA is filed under the name uncultured bacterium. RNAcentral's name for it is "bacterial SSU rRNA". It matches the Rfam family "Bacterial small subunit ribosomal RNA", at positions 358 to 776 of the family's 1533-position model. The record is from RNAcentral.
GGAAUAUUGGGCAAUGGGGGAAACCCUGACCCAGCGACGCCGCGUGAGGGAAGAAGGUUUUCGGAUUGUAAACCUCUGUCCUUGGUGACGAUAAUGACGGUAGCCAAGGAGGAAGCCACGGCUAACUACGUGCCAGCAGCCGCGGUAAUACGUAGGUGGCGAGCGUUGUCCGGAAUUAUUGGGCGUAAAGAGCAUGUAGGCGGUUUUUUAAGUCCGGAGUGAAAAUGCGGGGCUCAACCCCGUAUGGCUCUGGAUACUGGAAGACUUGAGUGCAGGAGAGGAAAGGGGAAUUCCCAGUGUAGCGGUGAAAUGCGUAGAUAUUGGGAGGAACACCAGUGGCGAAGGCGCCUUUCUGGACUGUGUCUGACGCUGAGAUGCGAAAGCCAGGGUAGCGAACGGG